RNAcentral lists this long non-coding RNA (464 nucleotides) under Homo sapiens (human). Its description in RNAcentral is "HSALNT0328754". The record is from RNAcentral. Lineage: Eukaryota; Metazoa; Chordata; Mammalia; Primates; Hominidae.
AGAGCAUGCAGGGCCCGCGGAAGAAGCAGUCCCGGCUCCGGGGCGCCGCCGGCUGAGGGGGCACCUUGGCUGGGGUCCGGCGGGGCAGCCUGAGGAGAGGGCGCCGGCGGCGGCACCAACUGCAACAGCGAGGCCUCUUCUGGCUCGGGCGGUUACGCGGCUCCUUCGAGAGAAGGAUUCUUAAUUCUGCCAACAACCACAUGAGUUUGGAAGAAUACCCAGAACUACAGAAGGGAGCACAGCUUGGCUGACACCUUGAUUUCAGCCUGGUGAGAACCUGAGCAGAGAACCCAGCUGAGCCCAUGCCAGGACUUCUGACUUACAGAACUACGAGAUAAUAAAUAUGUUAUUUUAAGUCACUUCAUUUCUGGUAAUUCGUUUUUGCAUCAAAUGCAAAUGUUUUUGCAUGGAAUAAAGUGUGUAUUCAAAUACAGUCAUAUGGAUACCAAAACUUGAUGUAGUUU